UAAGAAAGUUGGAAGUGCGAAGACGUGAAGAAAAGCACGAAGCCGUGAAGUGCUACUCAGCAAAGAGUUGUCUGUUCUAUUUGACUGUAAUAUUGUAAUAGCUGGUAUACCUAGGUUGUAAUAGUCUACAGAAAUUGUAGUACACUAAUCUAGUGUCAUUUGACGAGUUUCACAUGUUCUCUUGUUUGGAAUAUUUGAUUAUGAAUGUGAUUUGAUUGUGUGUGAGAUGGCAACCUGACCAGUGCAACCCACUUAUGAAAUAAUAUGACUAGUUCGUAACUUUCUUAUGUGUGGGAUCAAUAUAUGAGAUUAACAUGACUAGUGGGACCAGCUCCAAAAUAUAUUUUCCAAAAAUAUAUAAUUAAUAGACUGUAAAAGGCCAAAGCCCAGAGAUAAAAAGGCUGAAAUAUUGGGCUUGGCCCAUGUAGCCCAAUAGAAUUCGUAGGAAUUAUAAUAAUCAAAAAAUGUCGAAUUGUUGGGCUAGGCCCAUGUAGAAAACCGAAUUGGACCGGGCUGAAUCUUGUGCCACAUCAGCUUGCCACGCUGGAUGCCUACGUGGCCUGGGGAGGUUGCUAGUGAUCAAAACGCCACUGUAGGAAUAUUUUGGUCGUAAACGUCCAUGACCUUCUCACAGAGAAGGUCGCUAUAGUUAGUUUACGACCCUCAGCUUUUGACCUUCUAUUUUUGGUCAAAAAAAGGUCGCAAAUGAAAAACAAUGACCUUUCAGUGACCAAUAGUCAAGGUCACAAGUUGACAUAUUUCUUGUAGUGAUGGGGCAGAAGUAUGAUGCUGGUACCAUAACUCAUUCCCUUAGAGUACACCCCCUUUUGGUGGCUUUUGGGAAAGCCACUUUUGUGGAUUUCCCCUAAAAUCAAUGGGGAUGACAUGGGGUGCCCCCCCAAGGUUCCCACACAUGUGUGGCUGGUUGGGAAGGGGCUCCUCCAUGGAGCUUCUUUCCAACCCCCUUUUCGUGGCUUUUGGAGGAAACUAUCUAAGUGAUUUUUGGUAUUUUUAUCAUAGCCUCUACACCCUUCCUCCCACUAUAAAUAGAGGUGGAGAGGGCUCUCCAUUUCAUCCCAACUUAUCUCUCAACAUAUGCCAUGCAAUCAUCUGGCUUUCUAUCUCUCUUUCUCCAUGAAAUAGUUUCCUCCGCUAAAAGAUUGUGUAGUCUUUGGUAUGCCUAGUUCUGGAUGGUCUGGAUAGUUGACACUAGAUGUGUGCAACCCAGUAGAGAGGUCGUAGUUUCGGUCCUAGUUCAAGAGAUAUGCCGCGGUUCUGUUCGAGGGAUUGUCUAAGGUUCUGUCUGAGGUCCUCCCAAAGGGCUGUCCGAGGGGGUGUCUAAUACGUCUUUGUUGUAUAUAUAAUUUUUGAUUGUUUCAUGCCAAUAUUGUAAAAUUUUCAUAUACUUUUGGCAACAUUUUAUAUUAUUUUGGGACUAACAUAUUGAUCCAGUGCCUAGUGCCAGUUCUUGUUUGUUGCAUGUUUUUUGUUUCGCAGAAUAUCCAUAUCAAACAAAGUGGAAACGCGAUAAACAUUUACGGAGAUUUAUUUUGGAAUAUAUGUGAAUUUUGGGAGGAAGAAUCAACACAAGUCAGUGUCCGAGGUGGCCACAAGCCACAAGGGCACGCCCAAGGGGUGGGCUCCACGUGGUGGCUUCUAACUCCGUAGUAGGUCGGUUGACGCCCUUCUUUUGCUGCAAAAAAGAGAAUAUCCGGGAAAAAACAUGUUAAAGUUUCGUCCCAACCGGAGUUACGGAUCUCCAUUAAUUUAAGAAACGGUGAAGGGCCAGAAAAUAGGAACGUGAAACAAAAGAGAAACAGAGAGAGAUGCAAUCUCGGAGGGCUCCUGUCCUCCGGGAGCCAUGGCGGCCAUGGACCAAAGGGAAAACUCUCCUCCCAUCUAGGAGGGAGACCAAUGAAGAAGAAGGAGGGAGCUCUCUCCUCCUCUCUCCCGGUGGCCCUGUAGCGCUACCGGGGCAACCUUCAUGACGCCGAUCUACACCAACAACUUCGCCGCCGUCAACACCAACUCCCUCCCCCUCUAUGCAGCGGUGUAACACCUCUUCUUCCCGAUGUAAUCUCUGCUUAAACAGGGUGCUUAAUGCUACAUAUUAUUAUCCAAUGAUGUAUUUCCAUCCUAUGUUGUUUGAGUAGAUUUGUAUUGUCUUGUUGGUUGAUUGAUGAUUGUGAUUGGUUUGAGUUGUAUGUUUUAUUUUGGUGUUGUCCUAUGGUGCCCUCUAUGUCGCGCCACCAUGUGGGAUUACUAUAGUAGGGUGUUGCAAUACAUUCAUAAUUCGCUUAUAGUGGGUGGCUAGAGUGACAAAAGCUUACACCCGAGUAAGGGGGCUGUCGCAUAUGGGAGUAAAGAGGACUUGUUACUUAAUGCUCUAGUUGGAUUUGACCUUAAUGAUCUUUUGUAGUUGCAGAUGUUUGAUACGUCUCCAACAUCUCUAAAUUUUUUGAUUGUUCCAUGAUAUUAUAUUAUCUAUUUUGGAUAUUUUAUAUGCAUUAUUAUGCUAUUUUAUAUUAUUGGGACUAACUUUUUAACCUAGAGCCAAGUGCUAAUUUCUGUUUUUUCCUUGUUUUUGACUUUCAUAGAAAAGGAAUAUCAAACAGAAUAAAACUUCACGAUGAUUUUUCUUGGACCAAAAGACACACAGAGGACUUGGAGUCCAAGCCAGAAGAGCCAUGAGGCAACGACAAGGGGGGAAGGCGCGCCCUAGGGGUGGCUUCCCCCUGCCUUGUGCCCCCUCGGGGAUCCCCUGACCUACGUCUUCGUCCUAUAUAUUGACAUAUAUUCCAAAACCCUCAGAAGGAGCCACGAAAAUACUUUUCCACCGCCAGAGUUCUCUCACCUUGUUAGAUCCCAUCUGGAGGCCUUUUUCGGUACUUUUCCGGAGGGGGUUUCGAUCACGGAGGGCAUCUACAUCUACCCUAUUGCCCGUCUGAUGAAGCGUGAGUAGUUUACCUCAGACCUACGGGUCUAUAGGUAGUAGCUAGACGGAUUCUUAUCUCUCUUUGAUUCUCAGUACCAUGUUCUCCUCGAUGUUCUUGGAGAUCUAUCUGAUGUAAUCUUCUUUUGCGGUGUGUUUGUCGAGAUCCGAUGAAUUGUGGAUUUAUGAUCAUCCUAUCUAUGAAUAAUAUUUGAAUCUUCUCUUAAUUCUUAUAUGCAUGAUUUGAUAUCUUUGUAUUUCUCUUCGAAUUAUCGGUUUGGUUUGGCAACUAGAUUGGUUUUUCUUGCAAUGGGAGAGGUGCUUAGCUUUGGGUUCAAACUUGCGUGAUUUCACCCAGUGACAAAGUAGGGGUAGCGAGACACGUAUUGAAUUGUUGCCAUCGAGGAUAAAAAGAUGGGGUUUUCAUCAUAUUGCUUGAGUUAAUUCCUCUACAUCAUGUCAUAUUACUUAAGGCAUUACUCCAUUCUUUAUGAACUUAAUACUCUAGAUGCAUGCUGGAUAGCGGUAGGUAUGUGAAGUAAUAGUAGUAGAUGCAGGUAGGAGUCGGUCUACUUGACACGAACGUGAUGCCUAUAUGCAUAAUCAUUGCCUUGGAUAUCGUCAUAACUUUGUGCUGUUAUAUCAAAUGCUCGACAGUAAUUUGUUCACCCAUCGUAUUAUUUGCCUUUAAGAGAGAAGCCUCUUGUGAAACCUAUGGCCCCCGGGUUUAUUUUCUAUCAUACUUGUUUCUGAUCUACUAUUUUGAAAUCUUUUAUUUCAGAUCUAUAAACCAAAAAAACCAAAAAUAUUUAGUUAUCUUUUAUUUAGUUUUAUCUAUCUCUAUCAGAUCUCACCUUUGCAAGUGACCUUGAAGGGAUUGACAACCCCUUUAUCACGUUGGGUGCACGUGUUUGAUUGUUUGUGUAGGUUCAUCUAUUGGGGACUUGCGCGUUUCUCCUACUAGAUUGAUACCUUGGUUCUUAACUGAGGGAAUACUUAUCUCUACUGUGUUGCAUCACCAUUUCCUCUUCAAGGAAAUAACCAACGCAAGCUCAAGAAGUAGCAAUGCUUGCUAGAGUUCCAAUCAUAAGUGCAUAUGAUCCAAGUAUGAAAAGUAUGUUAGCUCAUGCCUCUCCCUCAUAUAAAAUUGCAAUAAUGAUUACCGGUCUAGUUAUCAAUUUCCUAGGGACAAAUCAUUCUCUUGUGUUACAAAAUCUUUCUGCUAGAGAACUAACUUUUAUUAUCUUGCAAGUUACUCAUAGCUUUAUUCUCUCUAAGUACAUCUACACUACUAGGGAAAAGCCUAGCAGCAGGGCGGGUUUUGGGCCUAUUAGCGGUGCGGGGGAUGGCGCUACUAAUAAGGCGCUACAGCUAACGUAUAGCAGUAGCGCAGGUGCCACCCGCGCUACUACUACGUCCUUUAGUAGUAGCGUGGGUAAAAACCCACGCUACUACUACCAGCGCGGUUUUUUUUGAAUUUUUUCGAAAAAAUAUUUCGAUUUUUCCCCUAAUUUUCAAUUUUCUAAAUUAUUUUAACCUCAGAUCUCUAAUGACCCCUCAUCGCUGCUCAAUUUAAUCUCUAAUCACCCCUCAUCAUUCCAAAUCAUCUAACUUCCCGGACGGUCACCCAUCCUCUCACUACUCCAGCCUGAGCACGCUUAACAUCCGGGUUCUAUUCUCCCUCGUUUCCAAGUCUGCACUUGUUGUUUUCCUGACAAUAGUAAGAUGUCAAUCUUAUUAACCUCAGGAAUUUAGCUUGAGCAUGAAGUCACACAUUUCACUAUUUGAGUUUGAAACUAUUGUUCUAAAAAAUUAGUAACACUAAUAUUUCUUGAAUAAUUAGUUUGACCACAGUUUGACCAUAGUUUGACCAUAGUUUGACCAUAGUUUGACCAGAUUUGACCAAAAUUCAAAAAAACUAAAAUAAUUAUUUAGUAACAUGAAUAUUCUAGAAUAAUUAGUUUGACCAUUGUUUGACCACAGUUUGACCACACAGUUUGAAAUAUUUUCGAUUUUUUCCACUCUAGAUCUCAAAAGCCCCGUAACUUUUUUUCUGUUUGGUUUUUGAGGAUUUUGAAAAUGUUUAACGGGGUUCUCUCAUGGUGCUACACUCUCAGGACCAUCUUAUGACACACAAUCAAUUUUUGGUGUGCUCAAAAUUUUAAUUUUAGUGAUAAGGAAAUAUCCCACAUAGUUUGCUGGAUCUCUCACUUGAGUUGGUUUAAUAGUAGUGGCCUCCUGACUUGUACUUAGUUGGGUAGGUGCUGGCUGGGAGCAAAAGUUUAUAUGCAUGGAUAAUGGACUUGCACUAAAUGGACACAAAUAAAGGAGUUGAGUAUUAAGUGAACUUGUUCUAACUGGAAACAAUUUCUGUAUUGUGUACAUAAAUAUCGAGUUGAUAGCUGAUCUGUAGCAAAUAUAGCUGCGCGUAACUUCUUUACAUGGUUCCUCUUUUACAGGAGCUCCAGGCCUAAGAAAGUUGGAAGUGCGAAGACGUGAAGAAAAGCGCGAAGCCGUGAAGUGCUACUCAGCAAAGAGUUGUCUGUUCUAUUUGACUGUAAUAUUGUAAUAGCUGGUAUACCUAGGUUGUAAUAGUCUACAGAAAUUGUAGUACACUAAUCUAGUGUCAUUUGACGAGUUUCACAUGUUCUCUUGUUUGGAAUAUUUGAUUAUGAAUGUGAUUUGAUUGUGUGUGAGAU
Molecule: long non-coding RNA, 5631 nt
Filed under: Triticum aestivum (bread wheat)
Lineage: Eukaryota; Viridiplantae; Streptophyta; Magnoliopsida; Poales; Poaceae
Description: long non-coding RNA (TAES_LNC003833)
Source: RNAcentral